UCAAAUUCACUUCGUUGCACAAGUACAUUCACUGUGUGUUGGGUAAAGCCGUAGAAAUACAAGUGAUAUGUAAUUGAGAUUAUAAGCAUAAAGAAAUCUAUUAGGAAAUGGAAGAAUUAUCAAUAGCAGGGAUCGGGGAUGCUGUUUGGUUAGAUGUCUUCCAGCGGUCUUGUAGGUGGUACCAUCGGAGGAACAUUUGAUGGACAAUUUUCCAUUGCUGCUAACUAUGAAGCUUGAUUCCCCUGUUUUUACAUCCCCGGUGAUUACCAUUCUCAUGCCAGCAGCAAUCGUCAUUGCACAAAAAGUAGAAGCACCAACUCCCUUUGUUAGACUUGCUUUAAUAUAUCUAAUGCUUUGGUUGGUUGAGUAUGGGUUGGCCUAUUGCUUGAUUUAAUGUAUCUAAUGCUUUGCAGCCUACGAGAUCCCACUCGAUUGCCC
RNAcentral lists this long non-coding RNA (438 nucleotides) under Olea europaea (common olive). RNAcentral describes it as "long non-coding RNA (OEUR_LNC010828)". The record is from RNAcentral. Lineage: Eukaryota; Viridiplantae; Streptophyta; Magnoliopsida; Lamiales; Oleaceae.